ACAUGCAAGUCGAACGGAAGUCGUUAUAAAAGGAGAGAAGAUUUAUCGGAUUGAAUUUUAUAACAAUGGCUUUAGUGGCGGACUGGUGAGUAACGCGUAAGGAACCUACCUAUUAGAGGGGAACAACAAUGAGAAAUCAUUGCUAAUACCGCAUAUGCCAUAACUACCGCAUGGUAGAAGUGGGAAAGGAGUAAUUCGCUGAUAGAUGGCCUUGCGUCUGAUUAGUUAGUUGGUGGGGUAACGGCCUACCAAGACGACGAUCAGUAGCCGGACUGAGAGGUUGAACGGCCACAUUGGGACCGAGAUACGGCCCAGACUCCUACGGGAGGCAGCAGUCGGGAAUAUUGCGCAAUGGAGGAAACUCUGACGCAGUGACGCCGCGUGCAGGAAGAAGGUUUUCGGAUUGUAAACUGCUUUAGACAGGGAAGAGAAAGGACAGUACCUGUAGAAUAAGCUCCGGCUAACUACGUGCCAGCAGCCGCGGUAAUACGUAGGGAGCGAGCGUUAUCCGGAUUUAUUGGGUGUAAAGGGUGCGUAGACGGGAAUACAAGUUAGUUGUGAAAUACCUCGGCUUAACUGAGGAACUGCAACUAAAACUAUAUUUCUUGAGUACAGGAGAGGUAAGUGGAAUUCCUAGUGUAGCGGUGAAAUGCGUAGAUAUUAGGAGGAACACCAGUGGCGAAGGCGACUUACUGGACUGAAACUGACGUUGAGGCACGAAAGUGUGGGGAGCAAACAGGAUUAGAUACCCUGGUAGUCCACACCGUAAACGAUGGAUACUAGGUGUAGGAGAUAUUAAGUCUUCUGUGCCGUCGCAA
RNAcentral lists this ribosomal RNA (818 nucleotides) under uncultured bacterium. Its description in RNAcentral is "bacterial SSU rRNA". It matches the Rfam family "Bacterial small subunit ribosomal RNA", at positions 53 to 854 of the family's 1533-position model. The record is from RNAcentral.